GAUGAACGCUGGCGGCGUGCUUAACACAUGCAAGUCGAACGAUGAAGCCCAGCUUGCUGGGUGGAUUAGUGGCGAACGGGUGAGUAACACGUGAGUAACCUGCCCUUGACUCUGGGAUAAGCCCGGGAAACUGGGUCUAAUACCGGAUAGGAGCGCCUGUCGCAUGACGGGUGUGGAAAGAUUUUUCGGUCAUGGAUGGACUCGCGGCCUAUCAGCUUGUUGGUGAGGUAAUGGCUCACCAAGGCGACGACGGGUAGCCGGCCUGAGAGGGUGACCGGCCACACUGGGACUGAGACACGGCCCAGACUCCUACGGGAGGCAGCAGUGGGGAAUAUUGCACAAUGGGCGGAAGCCUGAUGCAGCGACGCCGCGUGAGGGAUGACGGCCUUCGGGUUGUAAACCUCUUUCAGUAGGGAAGA
This 419-nucleotide ribosomal RNA is filed under the name Micrococcus sp. oral taxon F54. Its description in RNAcentral is "bacterial SSU rRNA". It matches the Rfam family "Bacterial small subunit ribosomal RNA", at positions 28 to 448 of the family's 1533-position model. Lineage: Bacteria; Bacillati; Actinomycetota; Actinomycetes; Micrococcales; Micrococcaceae. The record is from RNAcentral.